This is a long non-coding RNA of Tupaia belangeri chinensis (Chinese tree shrew), 344 nucleotides long. RefSeq lists it as uncharacterized. NCBI's taxonomy places the organism in Eukaryota, Metazoa, Chordata, Mammalia, Scandentia, Tupaiidae. The transcript has 3 exons. The record is from RefSeq and is a predicted model, not a curated record.
UGAACUGGUGGCUGAUCACCUGAAUCCAAUGACGGACUGAGCAGAGUCGAGGCUGAGUUGCAGCCUGAUUCUAGGCUGGUGCUCCCCCAGAAUUUACCAGAAGUUCUCUGAGGACUUUCCAGAUCUCCAAAAGCCCUGCUGGUCUCUGCCUCUCAGAAGUGGUCUUCCAUGGAUGCCAGGCCUGGGGUUUUCAGCCUUUGGGCCAUGCAUGGAUGCAGCAAAUGUUCCCUGGGUCAGGCAGUGGAGCAGCAGUAAUGCAGCUGGGCUCACAUGGUUUCAGCUCCAGAAUCUCCCCGAGUAUGACUGGGACACGUGUGUGCCUGUGAUCUGGACUGGCUGAGCUU